AGAACGAACGCUGGCGGCAUGCCUAAUACAUGCAAGUCGAACGAACACUUCGGUGUUAGUGGCGCACGGGUGCGUAACGCGUGGGAAUCUGCCCUUGGGUUCGGAAUAACAGUUGGAAACGACUGCUAAUACCGGAUGAUAUCGAAAGAUCAAAGAUUUAUCGCCCAGGGAUGAGCCCGCGUAGGAUUAGCUAGUUGGUGAGGUAAAGGCUCACCAAGGCGACGAUCCUUAGCUGGUCUGAGAGGAUGAUCAGCCACACUGGGACUGAGACACGGCCCAGACUCCUACGGGAGGCAGCAGUAGGGAAUAUUGGACAAUGGGCGCAAGCCUGAUCCAGCAAUGCCGCGUGGGUGAUGAAGGCCUUAGGGUUGUAAAGCUCUUUUACCCGAGAUGAUAAUGACAGUAUCGGAAGAAUAAGCCCCGGCUAACUCCGUGCCAGCAGCCGC
RNAcentral lists this ribosomal RNA (446 nucleotides) under uncultured soil bacterium. Its description in RNAcentral is "bacterial SSU rRNA". It matches the Rfam family "Bacterial small subunit ribosomal RNA", at positions 26 to 518 of the family's 1533-position model. The record is from RNAcentral.